AUUUAAAUAGUUUAUUAAAAAUAUUGAUUUGUGGGGUCAAAGAUAUACUUAGUAUUUUAAAUA
This 63-nucleotide transfer RNA is filed under the name Cleroidea sp. 5 KM-2017. RNAcentral's name for it is "tRNA-His". The record is from RNAcentral. Lineage: Eukaryota; Metazoa; Arthropoda; Insecta; Coleoptera.